RNAcentral lists this ribosomal RNA (507 nucleotides) under uncultured bacterium. Its description in RNAcentral is "partial 16S ribosomal RNA". It matches the Rfam family "Bacterial small subunit ribosomal RNA", at positions 28 to 507 of the family's 1533-position model. The record is from RNAcentral.
GACGAACGCUGGCGGCGUGCCUAAUACAUGCAAGUCGAACGCAUUUUCUUUCACCGUAGCUUGCUACACCGAAAGAAAAUGAGUGGCGAACGGGUGAGUAACACGUGGGUAACCUGCCCAUCAGCGGGGGAUAACACUUGGAAACAGGUGCUAAUACCGCAUAAUUCCAUUUACCGCAUGGUAGAUGGGUGAAAGGCGCUUUCGCGUCACUGAUGGAUGGACCCGCGGUGCAUUAGCUAGUUGGUGGGGUAACGGCCUACCAAGGCUGCGAUGCAUAGCCGACCUGAGAGGGUGAUCGGCCACACUGGGACUGAGACACGGCCCAGACGCCUACGGGAGGCAGCAGUAGGGAAUCUUCGGCAAUGGACGCAAGUCUGACCGAGCAACGCCGCGGGAGUGAAGAAGGUUUUCGGAUCGGAAAACUCUGUUGUUAGAGAAGAACAAGGAUGAGAGUGGAAAGUUCAUCCCUUGACGGUAUCUAACCAGAAAGCCACGGCUAACUACGUG